CUUUUGCCUCUCUUCUGUGAUGAGAAUCAAACACAUUCGCACCUCUCUGUGUGCUGAGAGAGACUAGAUGCUGAUCAAAACGCUGCGUUUCGUCGGCGAUCGUCGAAAUCCGUAUCGGAAUGCAAUCCAACGUAUCUUCAACGACCUCAGGGAACUUAUGUUGAAUGAAUCAAAGCGGAAGUUGUGUAGUCUCCUGCUCGUGCUCUUUCCUUGAUAGCAACCGUACAGGUUUUCUGGAAGAGUGUGGGCAGUGGGUGCUCUUUGUUGCUGGGAGAACUUGUGUCUAAAGAGAGAAGAAAAUUAGACUUUUCUCGUGUGGUGAUGAGGGAUCUUUUGAGCUAGUAUGGUGUGAGAAAGAGACAACUUGAGAGUUUGGUUUGACUAUUGACGAGAGGAAGAAGAUUGGGUUUUUAUUGGAGUUCUAAGGUUGCUUUCCAAAGUUUAGGAAAUGGUUCGGUCAGGAUUGACAAGUGGUCAGGGAUCAGUUUCUGAAAAAUCUGUAAUCAUCAGUUGUUUUGGUGGACACACGUUACUGUUCCAGUAACUGAACAAUAUGGAUGUGUAGUUCUAGGAUAGUUUCUAUCAAGGACAAUGGGUUUUAUGGAAAUAUUAUUGGCCUUUUGAAUUAACUGUUGUAUCAUGUUA
This is a long non-coding RNA of Rosa chinensis, 645 nucleotides long. RefSeq lists it as uncharacterized. The record is from RefSeq and is a predicted model, not a curated record. The transcript has 4 exons. NCBI's taxonomy places the organism in Eukaryota, Viridiplantae, Streptophyta, Magnoliopsida, Rosales, Rosaceae.